RNAcentral lists this transfer RNA (77 nucleotides) under Heliorestis acidaminivorans. RNAcentral's name for it is "tRNA-Arg". It matches the Rfam family "tRNA". Rfam says of the family: Transfer RNA (tRNA) molecules are approximately 80 nucleotides in length. Their secondary structure includes four short double-helical elements and three loops (D, anti-codon, and T loops). Further hydrogen bonds mediate the characteristic L-shaped molecular structure. tRNAs have two regions of fundamental functional importance: the anti-codon, which is responsible for specific mRNA codon recognition, and the 3' end, to which the tRNAs corresponding amino acid is attached (by aminoacyl-tRNA synthetases). tRNAs cope with the degeneracy of the genetic code in two manners: having more than one tRNA (with a specific anti-codon) for a particular amino acid; and 'wobble' base-pairing, i.e. permitting non-standard base-pairing at the 3rd anti-codon position. Lineage: Bacteria; Bacillati; Bacillota; Clostridia; Eubacteriales; Heliobacteriaceae. The record is from RNAcentral.
GCGCCUGUAGCUCAGCAGGAUAGAGCAACCGCCUUCUAAGCGGUCGGUCGGGAGUUCGAAUCUCUCCAGGCGCGCCA